CCUCAGCCUCCCAGUGUUCAGAAUCUAGUUUCUCUUAGGGGUAAGUCUGUGUUGACCUCAGCCAGCCUCCCUGCUAAAACUCAGAAGUUUGUCCUGUACUUGCUUGGACUCUGGAAAGUUCUUGGAGGAUGUUGUUCUUAUCUGAGGGCUGAGAGCUCAGAAAAGCCUCUUCUCCAUGCUGAUUCAAUUCACCCAUGAGAUCUCAAUAGUUCAAAGAUGUCCCUCAGACUUGGUUGUGAACUUCUGGUCUUACUUCGAUCUUGAUCAGAUCAAUCCAUAAAUUAUGGAAGUGAAUGAAAAAUGGGAAAUCAACCACCACCAAUACCAACAACAAACAGAUGUUAACCAUGUGCAGAUGCUUGACUAGUUUGAUGAAUCACUGAUUGGAUUUGGGACUUUUCACCUCAAGGUAAUCAGUCUGGGUUUAGCUCAGGUUUAACAGGUCA
This 446-nucleotide long non-coding RNA is filed under the name Monodelphis domestica (gray short-tailed opossum). Its description in RNAcentral is "lncRNA (ENSMODG00000042924.1)". Lineage: Eukaryota; Metazoa; Chordata; Mammalia; Didelphimorphia; Didelphidae. The record is from RNAcentral.